GAUUAGCCAUGCGAGUCGAGAGGGUUCGGCCCUCGGCGGACUGCUCAGUAACACGUGGAUAACCUGCCCUAAGGUGGAGGAUAACCCCGGGAAACUGGGGAUAAUACUCCAUAGGAUACAACUGCUGGAAUGCUCUGUAUCCGAAAGCUCCGGCGCCUUAGGAUGGAUCUGCGGCCGAUUAGGUUGUUGUUGGGGUAACGGCCCAACAAGCCCGUAAUCGGUACGGGUUGUGGGAGCAAGAGCCCGGAGAUGGACUCUGAGACACGAGUCCAGGCCCUACGGGGCGCAGCAGGCGCGAAAACUUUACAAUGCGGGAAACCGUGAUAAGGGAACCCCGAGUGCCCGUAAUCGCGGGCUGUCCGGGUGUGUAAAAAGCACCCGAAGAAAGGGCCGGGCAAGACCGGUGCCAGCCGCCGCGGUAAUACCGGCGGCUCGAGUGGUGACCACUUUUAUUGGGCUUAAAGCGUCCGUAGCUGGAUUGUUAAGUCUCUUGGGAAAUCUCACGGCUUACCGUGAGGCGUCUAA
RNAcentral lists this ribosomal RNA (525 nucleotides) under uncultured Methanomicrobiales archaeon. RNAcentral's name for it is "bacterial SSU rRNA". It matches the Rfam family "Archaeal small subunit ribosomal RNA", at positions 43 to 577 of the family's 1478-position model. Lineage: Archaea; Methanobacteriati; Methanobacteriota; Methanomicrobia; Methanomicrobiales. The record is from RNAcentral.